Amphiprion ocellaris (clown anemonefish) is the source of this 695-nucleotide long non-coding RNA. Lineage: Eukaryota; Metazoa; Chordata; Actinopteri; Pomacentridae. The record is from Ensembl.
CUAAAAUGUAAAAGAAUUUACAAAAAAGAAGGUUUUUUUUUUUUUUUUUUUAAAAAAGAUCACAAGUAGUGGAUAAUGCAGUUUAUUUCUGUGACAGUCUCUACAGCACUGACACCGUACGUCCCAUCAGUCCAACCAAGGUGUUUGAAUUUUCAUCCAUCCUCUGGAUGUUCUGGAGCAUAGCAGUGGUCAGGUCUUGGUCUCUGGAUGUUCUGGAGCAUGGCAGAGGUCAGGUCUUGGUCUCUGGAUGUUCUGGAGCAUGGCAGUGGUCAGGUCUUGGUCUCUGGAUGUUCUGGAGCAUGGCAGUGGUCAGGUCUUGGUCUCUGGAUGUUCUGGAGCAUGGCAGUGGUCAGGUCUUGGUCUCUGGAUGUUCUGGAGCAUGGCAGUGGUCAGGUCUUGGUCUCUGGAUGUUCUGGAGCAUGGCAGAGGUCAGGUCUUGGUCUCUGGAUGUUCUGGAGCAUGGCAGAGGUCAGGUCUUGGUCUCUGGAUGUUCUGGAGCAUGGCAGAGGUCAGGUCUUGGUGUCUCCUCAACUGUUCCUCUGACCUCUCCAGAUACUGCAGCAGAUCCACAGUAGCAUCCCGCUUCCUUUUUCCUGCAUAAAAGCACCCAAAAAGGUAUUAGUUGUUAGUAAUUACUUUCUAUAUUCAUAAACACAGUUAAAGUAAAUGUUCUGUUUUGUGAUUUUAGGAUGGGC